CAGUAGCCACGGUAAUACGUAGGGUGCAAGCGUUAAUCGGAAUUACUGGGCGUAAAGCGUGCGCAGGCGGUUUGUUAAGACAGAUGUGAAAUCCCCGGGCUCAACCUGGGAACUGCAUUUGUGACUGGCAAGCUAGAGUGUGGCAGAGGGGGGUGGAAUUCCGCGUGUAGCAGUGAAAUGCGUAGAUAUGCGGAGGGACACCGAUGGCGGAGGCAGCCCCCUGGGCCAACACUGACGCUCAUGCACGAAAGCGUGGGGAGCAAACAGGAUUAGAUACCCCUGUAGUCCCUGUCUCUUAUAC
Molecule: ribosomal RNA, 301 nt
Filed under: uncultured bacterium
Lineage: Bacteria
Description: partial 16S ribosomal RNA
Rfam family: Bacterial small subunit ribosomal RNA
Source: RNAcentral